This 481-nucleotide ribosomal RNA is filed under the name uncultured bacterium. RNAcentral describes it as "partial 16S ribosomal RNA". It matches the Rfam family "Bacterial small subunit ribosomal RNA", at positions 28 to 507 of the family's 1533-position model. The record is from RNAcentral.
GAUGAACGCUGGCGGCGUGCCUAACACAUGCAAGUCGAACGGAGAUUACGGACGGAAGUUUUCGGAUGGAAGACUGUAAUUCUUAGUGGCGGACGGGUGAGUAACGCGUGGGCAGCCUGCCCUAUACAGGGGGAUAGCAGCUGGAAACGGCUGGUAAGACCGCAUAAGUCGGUUAAAUCGCAUGAUUUGAUCGGGAAAUGAGCAAUCAGGUAUAGGAUGGGCCCGCGUCCGAUUAGCCAGUUGGCAGGGUAAAAGCCUACCAAAGCGACGAUCGGUAGCCGGACUGAGAGGUCGGACGGCCACAUUGGGACUGAGACACGGCCCAAACUCCUACGGGAGGCAGCAGUGGGGGAUAUUGCACAAUGGAGGAAACUCUGAUGCAGCGACGCCGCGUGAGUGAAGAAGUAUUUCGGUAUGUAAAGCUCUAUCAGCAGGGAAGAUGAUGACGGUACCUGACUAAGAAGCCCCGGCUAACUACGUG